This 446-nucleotide ribosomal RNA is filed under the name uncultured bacterium. RNAcentral describes it as "partial 16S ribosomal RNA". It matches the Rfam family "Bacterial small subunit ribosomal RNA", at positions 330 to 793 of the family's 1533-position model. The record is from RNAcentral.
ACCAGACUCCUACGGGAGGCAGCAGUGGGGGAUAUUGCACAAUGGGGGGAACCCUGAUGCAGCGACGCCGCGUGGGUGAAGAAGCGCCUCGGCGCGUAAAGCCCUGUCAGCAGGGAAGAAAAUGACGGUACCUGAAGAAGAAGCCCCGGCUAACUCCGUGCCAGCAGCCGCGGUAAUACGGAGGAUGCGAGCGUUAUCCGGAUUUACUGGGUGUAAAGGGGGCGCAGACGGCAGCGCAAGCCAGGAGUGAAAGCCCGGGGCCCAACCCCGGGACUGCUCUUGGAACUGCGCGGCUGGAGUGCAGGAGGGGCAGGCGGAAUUCCUGGGGUAGCGGUGAAAUGCGUAGAUAUCAGGAGGAACACCGGUGGCGAGGGCGGCCUGCUGGACUGCGACUGACGUUGAGGCCCGAAAGCGUGGGGAGCAAACAGGAUUAGAUACCCUCGUAU